ACACAGGCAUUUUAUCAUCUCACAUCAUCACAGGAGGGGUGAGUACAGUGAGACAAGAUGUUUUGAGAGCCAGAGACCACGUUCACAUAACUUUUAUUACAAUUUGAAGAUUGAAUUUGGUAGUCUUCUGACCAUGUUGCUGCCAUCCAUCACUCACAAAUCAACUCAUCAUGACCUGUAACCAGGAACGAAGAGUUGCAAACUUGCCAGCUAGCAAUGAAUUGAACUCAGUUGAACUCUGAUGCAGAAAAGGUUUAUUUGGAGAGAAAGCAAGAAGGGAAGGGGCAGAGAGAGGAAGAGACAGAAUCCCAAGGAGUCUCUCCACAGUCUCUGCAGAGCUCAGUCGUGGGGCUUGAACUCACAAACCCAUGAGAUCAUGACAUGAGCUGAGAUUGAGAUCCAAAAGCUUAGCCAACUAAGCCACCCAGGCACCCCUCAACAUUGAUCUUUUGAAUUACUCACUUUGGAUGAAACCAGUUGCUAUGCUGUGGUCAAGCAGUUCUAUGAAAAGGAACUGAGAUCUCCCAUGAAGAGCCAGCACCAACCAAAUGAACACCUUGGAAGUGGAUUUGCAACCAGAGUCAAGCCUUCAGAUGACGUCAGCCCCAAAUGUGGACAUCUGACAGUAACUUCACGAGAGACCCCAAGCCAGAACUGCCCAGCCAAGCCACACCUAAUUUCCUGACCCACAGAAAUACAUGCGAGAAUAAAUGAUUACAGUUGUGUUAAGCCACUAAAUUUUGAAGCAAUUUAAUAUGUAGAAAUAGAUCAUUUAUACAAUUGGGAUCAGAACUCAGAUUUGUCUGACCUGAGAACCAUAUCUCUUAUUAUUUUUUUCCCCCUUACUACCUAUGUUAUAAAAUAGCUUGUCUUGCUGAGUGUGACUCAAAUAGUAGCCCCAGGAGUAAAGUAUGGAAUCCAGGAGAGUAUUUGAUUCUAAAACCACACAAUAUGCCCCAGUUAGAAAGCUAACAAUUGUAGCUUCAACCUUCAACUCCAAAUAAAAGGUUGUUUUCCUAA
Long non-coding RNA from Neofelis nebulosa (Clouded leopard), 1020 nucleotides. RefSeq lists it as uncharacterized. The transcript is spliced from 3 exons. The record is from RefSeq and is a predicted model, not a curated record. NCBI's taxonomy places the organism in Eukaryota, Metazoa, Chordata, Mammalia, Carnivora, Felidae.